UUGAACGCUGGCGGCGUGCUUUACACAUGCAAGUCGAGCGGCAGCGCGACCUUCGGGUUGGCGGCGAGCGGCGAACGGGUGAGUAAUGUAUCGGAACGUACCCAGUCGUGGGGGAUAACUAUCCGAAAGGAUAGCUAAUACCGCAUACGUCCUGAGGGAGAAAGCGGGGGAUCGCAAGACCUCGCGCGAUUGGAGCGGCCGAUAUCGGAUUAGCUAGUUGGUGAGGUAAAGGCUCACCAAGGCGAUGAUCCGUAGCGGGUCUGAGAGGACGACCCGCCACACUGGAACUGAGACACGGUCCAGACUCCUACGGGAGGCAGCAGUGGGGAAUUUUGGACAAUGGGGGAAACCCUGAUCCAGCCAUUCCGCGUGAGUGAAGAAGGCCUUCGGGUUGUAAAGCUCUUUCAGCAGGAACGAAACGGUCGGCUUUAAUAAAGUCGGCUAAUGACGGUACCUGCAGAAGAAGCACCGGCUAACUACGU
RNAcentral lists this ribosomal RNA (482 nucleotides) under uncultured bacterium. RNAcentral describes it as "bacterial SSU rRNA". It matches the Rfam family "Bacterial small subunit ribosomal RNA", at positions 30 to 506 of the family's 1533-position model. The record is from RNAcentral.